This 484-nucleotide ribosomal RNA is filed under the name uncultured bacterium. Its description in RNAcentral is "partial 16S ribosomal RNA". It matches the Rfam family "Bacterial small subunit ribosomal RNA", at positions 30 to 507 of the family's 1533-position model. The record is from RNAcentral.
AUUGAACGCUGGCGGCAGGCCUAACACAUGCAAGUCGAGCGGAUGAAGGGAGCUUGCUCCUGGAUUCAGCGGCGGACGGGUGAGUAAUGCCUAGGAAUCUGCCUGGUAGUGGGGGAUAACGUCCGGAAACGGGCGCUAAUACCGCAUACGUCCUGAGGGAGAAAGUGGGGGAUCUUCGGACCUCACGCUAUCAGAUGAGCCUAGGUCGGAUUAGCUAGUUGGUGGGGUAAAGGCCUACCAAGGCGACGAUCCGUAACUGGUCUGAGAGGAUGGUCAGUCACACUGGAACGGAGACACGGUCCAGACUCCUACGGGAGGCAGCAGUGGGGAAUAUUGGACAAUGGGGGAAAACCUGAUCCAGCCAUGCCGCGUGUGUGAAGAAGGUCUUCGGAUUGUAAAGCACUUUAAGUUGGGAGGAAGGGCAGUAAGUUAAUACCUUGCUGUUUUGACGUUACCAACAGAAUAAGCACCGGCUAACUUCGUG